This 971-nucleotide ribosomal RNA is filed under the name Staphylococcus pseudintermedius. RNAcentral's name for it is "partial 23S ribosomal RNA". It matches the Rfam family "Bacterial large subunit ribosomal RNA", at positions 551 to 1525 of the family's 2925-position model. The record is from RNAcentral. Lineage: Bacteria; Bacillati; Bacillota; Bacilli; Caryophanales; Staphylococcaceae.
UGAAACCGUGUGCUUACAAGUAGUCAGAGCCCGUUAAUGGGUGAUGGCGUGCCUUUUGUAGAAUGAACCGGCGAGUUACGAUCUGAUGCAAGGUUAAGCAGAAAAUGUGGAGCCGUAGCGAAAGCGAGUCUGAAUAGGGCGAAUGAGUAUUUGGUCGUAGACCCGAAACCAGGUGAUCUACCCUUGGUCAGGUUGAAGUUCAGGUAACACUGAAUGGAGGACCGAACCGACUUACGUUGAAAAGUGAGCGGAUGAACUGAGGGUAGCGGAGAAAUUCCAAUCGAACUUGGAGAUAGCUGGUUCUCUCCGAAAUAGCUUUAGGGCUAGCCUCAAGUGAUGAUUAUUGGAGGUAGAGCACUGUUUGGACGAGGGGCCCCUCUCGGGUUACCGAAUUCAGACAAACUCCGAAUGCCAAAUAAUUUAACUUGGGAGUCAGAAUGUGGGUGAUAAGGUCCAUAUUCGAAAGGGAAACAGCCCAGACCACCAGCUAAGGUCCCAAAAUAUAUGUUAAGUGGAAAAGGAUGUGGCGUUGCCCAGACAACUAGGAUGUUGGCUUAGAAGCAGCCAUCAUUUAAAGAGUGCGUAAUAGCUCACUAGUCGAGUGACACUGCGCCGAAAAUGUACCGGGGCUAAACAUAUUACCGAAGCUGUGGAUUGUCCAUUGGACAAUGGUAGGAGAGCGUUCUAAGGGCGUUGAAGCAUGAUCGCAAGGACAUGUGGAGCGCUUAGAAGUGAGAAUGCCGGUGUGAGUAGCGAAAGACGGGUGAGAAUCCCGUCCACCGAUUGACUAAGGUUUCCAGAGGAAGGCUCGUCCGCUCUGGGUUAGUCGGGUCCUAAGCUGAGGCCGACAGGCGUAGGCGAUGGAUAACAGGUUGAUAUUCCUGUACCACCAUUAUUCGUUUUAAGCGAUGGGGGGGACGCAGUAGGAUAGGCGAAGCGUGCUGUUGGAGUGCACGUCCAAGCAGUGAGAU